AACGAACGCUGGCGGCAUGCCUAACACAUGCAAGUCGAACGGGAUCCUAGCUUGCUAGGUGAGAGUGGCGGACGGGUGAGUAACACGUGGGAAUCUGCCUUUUGGUUCGGGAUAACCGCGGGAAACUGCGGCUAACACCGAAUGCCCUCGUGAGAGGAAAGAUUUAUCGCCAGAAGAGGAGCCCGCGUCCGAUUAGGUAGUUGGUGGGGUAAAGGCCUACCAAGCCGACGAUCGGUAGCUGGUCUGAGAGGAUGAUCAGCCACACUGGGACUGAGAUACGGCCCAGACUCCUACGGGAGGCAGCAGUGGGGAAUAUUGGACAAUGGGGGCAACCCUGAUCCAGCAAUGCCGCGUGAGUGAUGAAGGCCUUAGGGUUGUAAAGCUCUUUUGCCAGGGAAGAUGAUGACUGUACCUGGAGAAUAAGCCCGGCUAACUUCGUGCCAGCAGCCGCGGUAAU
RNAcentral lists this ribosomal RNA (457 nucleotides) under uncultured bacterium. RNAcentral's name for it is "bacterial SSU rRNA". It matches the Rfam family "Bacterial small subunit ribosomal RNA", at positions 29 to 524 of the family's 1533-position model. The record is from RNAcentral.